GAUGAAGAACGUAGCGAAAUGCGAUAAGUAAUGUGAAUUGCAGAAUUCAGUGAAUCAUCGAAUCUUUGAACGCACCUUGCACCCUUUGGCAUUCCGAAGGGUAUGCUCGUUUGAGUGUCAUUGUACUCUCACUCUCCCGAUGCUUUUGGAUCGGGAGUGGUGGACUUGGGUGUUGCUGCUUUGCUGUGGCUCGCCUCAAAUGGAGUAGUGCAACUCUUGGUUGGACAUAGUACGGCGUGAUAAGUGUCUUCGCCGGCGCCUCAUUAUAGAGGGUGGCCGAUCGGGAGCUCUGUGCUUCAAACCGUCUUCGGACAACAUCUGACAACUUGACCUCAAAUCGAGUAGGACUACCCGCUGAACUUAAGCAUAUCAAUAAGCGAGGA
RNAcentral lists this unclassified non-coding RNA (383 nucleotides) under soil metagenome. RNAcentral describes it as "partial contains 5.8S ribosomal RNA, internal transcribed spacer 2, and large subunit ribosomal RNA". The stretch from base 1 to 120 matches the Rfam family "5.8S ribosomal RNA", at positions 35 to 154 of the family's 154-position model. The record is from RNAcentral.